Molecule: ribosomal RNA, 867 nt
Filed under: uncultured Niastella sp.
Lineage: Bacteria; Pseudomonadati; Bacteroidota; Chitinophagia; Chitinophagales; Chitinophagaceae
Description: bacterial SSU rRNA
Rfam family: Bacterial small subunit ribosomal RNA
Source: RNAcentral
UGCAAGUCGUGGGGCAGCAGGGGUAGCAAUACCCGCUGGCGACCGGCAAACGGGUGCGGAACACGUACACAACCUUCCUUAAAGUGGGGAAUAGCCCAGGGAAACUUGGAUUAAUACCCCGUAAUAUUGUGAAAUGGCAUCAUUUUAUAAUUAUAGCCUUCGGGCGCUUAAAGAUGGGUGUGCGGCUGAUUAGGUAGUUGGCGGGGUAACGGCCCACCAAGCCUACGAUCAGUAACUGGUGUGAGAGCACGACCAGUCACACGGGCACUGAGACACGGGCCCGACUCCUACGGGAGGCAGCAGUAAGGAAUAUUGGUCAAUGGACGCAAGUCUGAACCAGCCAUGCCGCGUGGAGGAUGAAGGUCCUCUGGAUUGUAAACUUCUUUUAUCUGGGAAGAAACCCAAGGUUUCUACUUUGGUUGACGGUACCAGAUGAAUAAGCACCGGCUAACUCCGUGCCAGCAGCCGCGGUAAUACGGAGGGUGCAAGCGUUAUCCGGAUUCACUGGGUUUAAAGGGUGCGUAGGUGGGCGAGUAAGUCAGUGGUGAAAUCUCCGGGCUUAACCCGGAAACUGCCAUUGAUACUAUUUGUCUUGAAUGUUGUGGAGGUAAGCGGAAUAUGUCAUGUAGCGGUGAAAUGCUUAGAUAUGACAUAGAACACCGAUAGCGUAGGCAGCUUACUACACAAUUAUGACACUGAGGCACGAAAGCGUGGGGAUCAAACAGGAUUAGAUACCCUGGUAGUCCACGCCCUAAACGAUGGAUACUCGAAUCAGCGAUACACUGUUGGUGUCUGGACGAAAGCAUUAAGUAUCCCACUGGGAAGUACGACCGCAAGGUUGAAACUCAAAGGAAUUGACGGGGGUCC